Pelobates cultripes (western spadefoot toad) is the source of this 127-nucleotide non-coding RNA. NCBI's taxonomy places the organism in Eukaryota, Metazoa, Chordata, Amphibia, Anura, Pelobatidae. The record is from the annotation of a GenBank genome assembly.
AAAUAGAUCUUCAUUUAUUUCGAAGAAUGGAUCGACGUUUCAGCUCCUCACAGGAGCUUUCAUCAGGAAAAGCUCCUGUGAGGAGCUGAAACGUCGAUCCAUUCUUCGAAAUAAAUGAAGAUCUAUU